AGGGAAGGAACGUUUCCACCCUUUCUCAGGAAAACGAAAGUUAUCAGAAUGUACAAUCUUCGAUAGACUUUCAGUAUUGACAGACAGAGAUUUGACUGCGCGAAGAAGAGUCGACAAAACGAUCGGCUACAUCAAGAUGAAGUGUCCUGGCUGUGGUCACCAAGUGGAAAAAUCGUCAAAAUUUUGCAGUGAAUGCGGGUUGAGGUUAGCUGCUCAAAUUUGCACCACAGGUGGGACCACUUCAGAGCAUCAAACAUCUGUGGUCCGUGAAGCAGAGCCCCAGAAGGAGGCUGCGCCACUGACGUGGGCAGGGAACAAGACCGACGCGCCUACGAAACACUCCAGUGAAGAACCAGGGGGCAAUGUCAAGAAAAAGAGUGGAGGCUCUUCCAGCGCUAUUGAGCUGAGCACUGACACACGUCAAGAGAAAGAUGAGUUGUCUGUCAGUGAGAGCUCUACUUCAGUGGUGGAUGACCCUCCUGUCAACACCACUACACCUACUGGCCCUCCUGUUAACACUGCCACACGUACUGGCCCUCCUGUCAACACUGCCACACCUACUGGUCCUCCUGUCAACACCACCACACCUACUGGCCCUCCUGUCAACACCGCCACACCUGCUGGCCCUCCUGUCAACACUGCCACACCUACUGGCCCUCCUGUCAACACCGCCACACCUACUGGCCCUCCUGUCAACACUGCCACACCUACUGGCCCUCCUGUCAACACCACCACACCUGCUGGCCCUCCUGUCAACACCACCACACCUACUGGCCCUCCUGUCAACACCACCACACCUACUGGCCCUCCUGUCAACAUUGCCACACCUACUGGCCCUCCUGUCAUCACCGCCACACCUACUGGCCCUCCAACCAUACCUAUAGCCUCUCCAAACCCAUCCCCACACCAGACACUGCCAGAAGACCAGGCCAAGGGUCCAUCGAAGGCAAACGUAGACGCACCAGUGAAUGAGCCAAACCAACCUAGUCCUACAUCAGUCACACAGGCCUCAUCCACACCCGAGACAGCUGAUCAGAACACAGGAGGACGUGCCUCAGACCCAACUCAACCAGCCAGUAAACUCUUGGAUGAGGAAGACCUGAAGGGGACGUCACACGGGUCAACGGAGCCAUCAAAAAGCCUUGAUGGUGAAGGCAACACAGAGGUUAGAGUUCUGAAUGAACUGAAGACCUCUAGUAACCAGACCGACGAGAAUAUAACAAAUGAAGCAAACUCAAAGAAGUGUGUUGACCAAUCCCAAGUAUCCCUUGGUGAUCAGAGGGGUUCUGACCCAACAGAUGAGCCAAACACUAGUCAAAAACAAUCUACUAGUCCAGCUCCCUCAGUAACACAGGAGGUGCCUGAGAAGACAUCUAAGAGAAAAGAUCAGAACAGAACAGAACCUGCCUCAGGUCCAAGUCAAUCAGUAGGGCAGUUGUCAUAUAAAGACGUUCUGGUGGGGACCUCUCAGGAGACGGGAGAUCUGUCCAGGAGGCAAGGGGUUGGCGACAGUAACUACAGAGACCAGAGCAGGAAAAAUGAAGCAAACUCACAGAACUUUGUUUUUGGAUCCCACAAGGCAGAGGUAAUACAUAUAUUUAUAUUCUGUUAUUAUUCAGCAUGUGGAAUGAACUGUGUUUUUGUUGUACU
Long non-coding RNA from Oncorhynchus tshawytscha (Chinook salmon), 1650 nucleotides. NCBI's taxonomy places the organism in Eukaryota, Metazoa, Chordata, Actinopteri, Salmoniformes, Salmonidae. The record is from Ensembl.